Molecule: transfer RNA, 69 nt
Filed under: Hydrodamalis gigas (Steller's sea cow)
Lineage: Eukaryota; Metazoa; Chordata; Mammalia; Sirenia; Dugongidae
Description: tRNA-Phe
Rfam family: tRNA
About the family: Transfer RNA (tRNA) molecules are approximately 80 nucleotides in length. Their secondary structure includes four short double-helical elements and three loops (D, anti-codon, and T loops).
Source: RNAcentral
GUUGAUGUAGCUUAUUACUUAAAGCAAGGCACUGAAAAUGCCUAGAUGAGUCUACUCACUCCAUAAACA